Molecule: small nucleolar RNA, 131 nt
Organism: Megalops cyprinoides (Indo-Pacific tarpon)
Lineage: Eukaryota; Metazoa; Chordata; Actinopteri; Elopiformes; Megalopidae
Product: small nucleolar RNA SNORA68
Exons: 1
Source: RefSeq, a predicted model, not a curated record
UAUGCACACAAACCCAAAGGACAUUAUAAACCUGUGUGAUGCUCUUGUCAUGUGUGCUCAAAUCAAAGAAGCACCUUGUCGCCUUUCAUAAGCUGCUGUGCCAGUGGAAGUGAAAUCAAGGUUCAACACCA